CACUGGUCGAGUCGGACUGCGCGGAAGAUGUAACGGGGCUAAACCAUGCACCGAAGCUGCGGCAGCGACACUAUGUGUUGUUGGGUAGGGGAGCGUUCUGUAAGCCUGUGAAGGUGGCCUGUGAGGGUUGCUGGAGGUAUCAGAAGUGCGAAUGCUGACAUAAGUAACGAUAAAGCGGGUGAAAAGCCCGCUCGCCGGAAGACCAAGGGUUCCUGUCCAACGUUAAUCGGGGCAGGGUGAGUCGACCCCUAAGGC
RNAcentral lists this ribosomal RNA (255 nucleotides) under Escherichia coli. RNAcentral's name for it is "partial 23S ribosomal RNA". It matches the Rfam family "Bacterial large subunit ribosomal RNA", at positions 1143 to 1397 of the family's 2925-position model. The record is from RNAcentral. Lineage: Bacteria; Pseudomonadati; Pseudomonadota; Gammaproteobacteria; Enterobacterales; Enterobacteriaceae.